This is an unclassified non-coding RNA of Papio anubis (olive baboon), 148 nucleotides long. It matches the Rfam family "Metazoan signal recognition particle RNA". Rfam says of the family: The signal recognition particle (SRP) is a universally conserved ribonucleoprotein. It is involved in the co-translational targeting of proteins to membranes. Lineage: Eukaryota; Metazoa; Chordata; Mammalia; Primates; Cercopithecidae. The record is from Ensembl.
GCCGGGCGUGGUGGUGCACGCCUGUAAUCCCAGCUACUUGGGAGGCUGAGGCAGGAGAAUCACUUGAACUCAGGAGGCAGAGGUUGCAGUGAGCUGAGAUCAUACCAUUGCACUCCAGCCUGGGCAACAGAGCGAGACUCUGUCUCAA